RNAcentral lists this ribosomal RNA (404 nucleotides) under uncultured bacterium. RNAcentral describes it as "partial 16S ribosomal RNA". It matches the Rfam family "Bacterial small subunit ribosomal RNA", at positions 28 to 526 of the family's 1533-position model. The record is from RNAcentral.
GAUGAACGCUGACAGAAUGCUUAACACAUGCAAGUCAACUGUGGCGGACGGGUGAGUAACGCGUAAAGAACUUGCCUCACAGAUAGGGACAACAUUUGGAAACGAAUGCUAAUACCUGAUACGGUGAGAGGGCUUUGCGUCCCAUUAGCUAGUUGGAGAGGUAACGGCUCACCAAGGCGAUGAUGGGUAGCCGGCCUGAGAGGGUGAUCGGCCACAAGGGGACUGGGGCACGGGCCGUACGCAUACGGGCGGCAGCAGUGGGGAAUAGUGGAAAAUAGGCCACAGUCUGAUCCAGCAAUUCGGUGUGCACGAUGAAUUUUUCGGAAUGAAAAGUGUUUUCAGUUGGGAAGCGGUACCAACAGAAGAAGUGACGGCUAAAUACGUGCCAGCAGCCGCGGUAAUAC